GGGGUUGUGACUCAGUGGUAGAGUGCUUGCCUAGCAUGCAUGAGGUACUGGGUUCGAUCCUUGGCACCA
Molecule: transfer RNA, 69 nt
Filed under: Ictidomys tridecemlineatus (thirteen-lined ground squirrel)
Lineage: Eukaryota; Metazoa; Chordata; Mammalia; Rodentia; Sciuridae
Description: Spermophilus tridecemlineatus (thirteen-lined ground squirrel) tRNA
Rfam family: tRNA
About the family: Transfer RNA (tRNA) molecules are approximately 80 nucleotides in length. Their secondary structure includes four short double-helical elements and three loops (D, anti-codon, and T loops).
Source: Rfam by way of RNAcentral